GGAGAGGUGCCAGAGCGGCUGAUCGGGACGGUCUCGAAAACCGUUGUGCUCGAAUGAGUACCGGAAUCCCCCCCUCUCCG
RNAcentral lists this transfer RNA (80 nucleotides) under Planctomycetota bacterium. RNAcentral's name for it is "Planctomycetes bacterium (groundwater metagenome) tRNA-Ser". The record is from RNAcentral. Lineage: Bacteria; Pseudomonadati; Planctomycetota.